RNAcentral lists this transfer RNA (82 nucleotides) under Acidimicrobiia bacterium. Its description in RNAcentral is "tRNA-Leu". It matches the Rfam family "tRNA". From Rfam's summary of the family: Transfer RNA (tRNA) molecules are approximately 80 nucleotides in length. Their secondary structure includes four short double-helical elements and three loops (D, anti-codon, and T loops). The record is from RNAcentral. Lineage: Bacteria; Bacillati; Actinomycetota; Acidimicrobiia. RNAcentral also lists the same sequence under 1 other name.
GCCCCGGUGGCGGAAUCGGCAGACGCAGUGGACUUAAAAUCCACGGCCGCAAGGCGUGGGGGUUCAAGUCCCCCCCGGGGUA